GGGAAGGUGGCUCAGUGGUAGAGUGCUUGCCUUGCAUGCAUGAGGCCCUAGGUUCAAUUCCUCAGCAUCACA
Molecule: transfer RNA, 72 nt
Filed under: Dipodomys ordii (Ord's kangaroo rat)
Lineage: Eukaryota; Metazoa; Chordata; Mammalia; Rodentia; Heteromyidae
Rfam family: tRNA
About the family: Transfer RNA (tRNA) molecules are approximately 80 nucleotides in length. Their secondary structure includes four short double-helical elements and three loops (D, anti-codon, and T loops). Further hydrogen bonds mediate the characteristic L-shaped molecular structure. tRNAs have two regions of fundamental functional importance: the anti-codon, which is responsible for specific mRNA codon recognition, and the 3' end, to which the tRNAs corresponding amino acid is attached (by aminoacyl-tRNA synthetases). tRNAs cope with the degeneracy of the genetic code in two manners: having more than one tRNA (with a specific anti-codon) for a particular amino acid; and 'wobble' base-pairing, i.e. permitting non-standard base-pairing at the 3rd anti-codon position.
Source: Rfam by way of RNAcentral